Long non-coding RNA from Balaenoptera ricei (Rice's whale), 415 nucleotides. RefSeq lists it as uncharacterized. The record is from RefSeq and is a predicted model, not a curated record. NCBI's taxonomy places the organism in Eukaryota, Metazoa, Chordata, Mammalia, Artiodactyla, Balaenopteridae. The transcript has 3 exons.
AAGUGGCGCCCGCACAGGGACCUGAGUGCGUGAGGCAUUUCGGAAGAUUUCAGGGAGGCAGACUCUCCGCGGUGGCUCCCGGAGCGCUUGGUUCGACAUUAUCAUGCCAUCACCAAUAAACACCCUGACUCGAAGAAUGCGUCGCCUGAGGCUCUCGCAAUCGACCACAGCACACCCCAACCGGUUCCCCCGGCGGACGAGAAGAAUGCGGCGACGGAGUAGGAGAGAACUUGUCAGGGAGGCGAGGGGAGAUCGAAAUCAAAUUACUUGACUGUUCCUAGACGAGAAGAUUUAUCCACCUUUGUAUUUUGGUAUAAGGAUAACGUUCCCAUUCACAUGAAUGCUAGAGUAACUAAGCUUGCUUCUAAUACUUCGUUGGAUCAUUCUCUAUGCAUAUAUCGCUUGAGGAUUGAAG